ACUAUUUUGGCAGAUUAGUGCAGUAAAUUUAGAAUUUAUUUAUGUGUAAUUUUUCACAAAUAGUA
This 65-nucleotide transfer RNA is filed under the name Brontostoma colossus. Its description in RNAcentral is "tRNA-Leu". The record is from RNAcentral. Lineage: Eukaryota; Metazoa; Arthropoda; Insecta; Hemiptera; Reduviidae.